CGAGUAUCGAUGAAGAACGCAGCUAGCUGCGAUAAAUAGUGCGAAUUGCAGACACAUUGAGCACUAAAAAUUCGAACGCACAUUGCGCCAUCGGGUUCAUUCCCGUUGGCACGUCUGGCUGAGGGUUGAAUUAUUGAAAGAGUUGCCAUUUAUGAAUUUUCAACAUUCAUAGAGAAUGGCAUGUAUAUUCGAUAAGCUAUGAUAGUGGACAAAUGAGAAGUACUAUCGUACCUUAUUUAGCUAAUCUAUGAUUCAAUAUCUCGUUGUAAUUUGCUUAAACGAGAUGAGCGAGAGAGAAUAUAUACAUCAAAACGCUCUUAAAAGACGAUUCCAGCGUAUAUUGUGUGAAUGGCAUAGUUGGAAAGAAAGAUGAGCGUGACAAUAAUGAUGUAUAUGAAAAAUUUUUUGACCUCAGCUCAGUCGUGAAUACCCGCUGAACUUAAGCAUAU
RNAcentral lists this unclassified non-coding RNA (449 nucleotides) under Ascaris lumbricoides (common roundworm). RNAcentral's name for it is "sequence contains 5.8S rRNA gene, ITS2, 28S rRNA gene". The stretch from base 1 to 128 matches the Rfam family "5.8S ribosomal RNA", at positions 27 to 154 of the family's 154-position model. The record is from RNAcentral. Lineage: Eukaryota; Metazoa; Nematoda; Chromadorea; Rhabditida; Ascarididae.